RNAcentral lists this transfer RNA (67 nucleotides) under Artibeus hartii (little fruit-eating bat). Its description in RNAcentral is "tRNA-Lys". Lineage: Eukaryota; Metazoa; Chordata; Mammalia; Chiroptera; Phyllostomidae. The record is from RNAcentral.
CAUUAAGAAGCUAAACAGCGCUAACCUUUUAAGUUAGAGAUUGAGAACAUAAAUUUCUCCUUAAUGA